GUUGAACAAUCAAAGCUCUUGUGAACUGGGGAGGGGCUUUGCGGAGGCGGUGGAAUUUUUGUUGUUGUUAGAAAUUCUGACAUUUGACAGUUUAACCCUUACGAUGCAAGAUGGGGCUAGAGGAUACUGAGUGCAGGAUUGCCUGCAUGGGAUGAUCUGAGUCAUGUCAUAUGAUUAUACACUAGAUGUUUAUGAAAGUUUAAACACGUCUCUGAAAAUAUAACAGAUGUAUAAAUGCUAUAAUUUUGGAAUAAUUAGCAGUAUGGUUGCUUUGAUAUAGUGUAGUGUUGAAAACAUAAUGUGCUUGGUAUUGGAAUAAUCAGAAAAUUCACAUGCUAUCCUGCCUGGAAUUCGGAGUGUAAGUAAUUAAUGCAAGAAAUUAUGAUGAUUUUAAAUAAUCAUUAUAUGGAAGAUAUUUAAAUUAUAGCAAACAAAAAUGUUCAGAAUGAAUCUGUUUUGUUUGUCACGUUGCCCCCGAUGGACAAAAUCCGGUAUUACAACUAAAAGACGAAUGGUUGUUACAAAGAUGCAUCUCCCUGACAACAUACAUUCCCAAAAUGAACCAAUGAGAAGGGACAAGCACCGUGGGCGUGAAUGAAAAAGAUCAUCAAUGAUUAUAUAAGGAAUAGCUAAAUGUAAGACAAAAAACAAUUUUUGGUGAUCUGCUUGUCACUAGUGAUUGAUAACUGGCAGCCAUUCUCUUGGGGACAAGGUCAUUUUAAGCAAGGAACCGAAAACUUACCUUGAUCUAUGCGAUAACUUUCCUUCAAAUGAGAUGAUCUAAAGAUAUUUGGAAAAGACAACUACGAAUUGGUUCAAAUUGGUGAGGUAUAAUUGUUCUAAUUUUUAAUAUUUGAAACAAAGGUUAUUGGUAAGACCAUGUUCAAAUUGUAGUUAAGAGAUUUAAAAGAGCAUUUUGUAUUUUAGCUUAUAUUCAGAGCCUGUGUAUUGUUAAACAUAUAUCCUUAAUGCUAAGUUGUUUUACUGUGCAAAUAUAGAGUUAUAACUCAGAGUUUGGUUAUUGGCACAAAUAAUAUAUACAAUUUCUGAUGUUUUAAAUUGGAAUUAUAUUAGAAUAAAUUGUGGUUAAAUAGCUGAGUGUAUUGCUUGAAUGUUAGCAGCUAAAUAUCUUGGAAUCUCAUUGUGUAAAUUGAAUGAAAUUCUAUUGUGAAUAAGGCUAGUUUUAAAGGUAAACUUUUAUGAACUUUGCAUAGCAUAUUUUAAUAGUUUUUAAACGUGUAUAGUAUUGAUUCAUAUUCUGAUUCCUACAAAUAUAUUUCAAUGUGUUUAUAGAUAUUAACAAAUAAAAAAGAAUUCAGGAAUUUAUAUUAAUUUUAUGGUUUCUAGAAUAUGCAUAUUUUAUUGGGGUUCAGUUUAAAGGAUAAUUAUUAAAUAUAUUGUGUUAUAACCCUGCCAUAUACUGACACUAUGUACUUGCAUAAUCAGUAUAUACCUGCUAUUUUAGAGAGAAAUUACUGAAGCACGUAGAUCACCAGUAUAUAUACUACCCAGGUAUAGCUCCUAUGGUUAUUACCUAGGAGUCCUCGGGUUAGUAGGGGUGCAAUCGGCUUUAUCUCUCCCUUUCUUUAUGCUGUUACUUUGAACUACUGUAUUACUCAUGCUUGUGGACCAGAGAUUUGAAGCUUAGAUCCCCAUAUGUUUCUGUCCUGGUGAUACCUCCUUUGAAUUUCUAGGGGGUCCAGGUCUCAGAAGGGGUGUAGCUGAUUACUUCUGAGUCUUUAUUUUGCUACAGUGUUAUGUACUAUCUCUCACCUUGAUGUUAUGAUUGUCAGUGACCAGUCACUUGAUUCCAUUAUAUGGAUUUCGGUCUUUAGCUUACAUGUGUUGUAAGCUUGAUGUAUAUUGAAAGUUAUGUAUUUUGUAUAUAUUCUAGUGGGCCUGCUACCAUUUUGGAGGUGUUAAAGUGCUUAACCACACAUAAUGUGUGCAAUGUAUCCUAUCUGACCCUUACGCUAAUAAAUAUUUUAAAAGAGUGCUGUAGUCCCUGUCUUGUUGUGAUACGCAUAAUAGCGUAUCUAUCUCUUUUAAACAAGUUUAAAUAGCAUUUUUCUUCACUCAGAAGAAAAUGUUAUUUUUUUAAACACACACAAACAAAUAUAGAUACAUAACUAUAUAUAUAUAUUUUAAAUAAAAAUAACAUUCUUCUGAGUGAAGAACAAUGCUAUUUAAACUAUUUCUUAAAGCACCUUUAGCUAUAGCACACUUGGCUUAUUGAACCUUUUGGAUAGUGCUCGAACAAAAGCAAGAACAUUGUUUUGCAGUAUGCCCCAUAGAAGUCUGUGGGGAUAGGCAGUUAGCUCGGCCACACUGUCCAACCCCCAAAUGUUAAUGAGUUUGAGGCUUUCGCUUGAGUGAUAACUUUUUACUUUCAACUUGUAAUUGGAGGGCAAAAAUAAGAGUGCUAUGGAUUUAAAGGGACAGUCUAGUCAAAAUUAAACUUUCAUGAUUCAGAUAGGGCAUGCAAUUUUAAACAACUUUCAAAUUUACUUUUAUCAUCAAAUUUGCUUUGUUCCCUUGGUGGUAUUUUUGAAAAGCUAAACCUAGCUAGGCUUAAACUGAUUUCUAAACAGUUGAAAACCGCCUCCUAGCUCAGAGCAUUUUGAAAGUUUUUCACAGUUAGACUGUGCUAGUUCACAUGUGUCAUAUAGAUAACAUUGUGCUCACUCCCGUGAAGUUAUUUAGGAGUCUUCACUGAUUGACUACACUGCAUGUCUGUCAAAGGCACUUAGAUAAGGAGGCUGUCUGCAAAUGAUUUAGAUACAAGGUAAUCACAGAGGUAAAAAGUAUAUUAAUAUAACUGUGUUGGUUACGCAAAAACAGGGAAUGGGCAAUAAAGGGAUUAUCUAUCUUUUUAAAUAAGAAAAAUUUUGGUGUAGACUGUCCCUUUAACUUGAGUGGUGCUAAUCUUUUUGCACUCCACUUGUAAUCUAUGCCGUAAUGUCUUUACUCCCAAUGUGACUUAAAUGAAAAAUAAAAUUCACGGAUUUGCAGAAAGUUGUUGAAUGUAUUAAGCUAGACUGUGUGAAUGAAGAUGAUUUGUCUGAUUAAUUUUGUUGUACUAAAGUCUUUCAAAUUGUAAAAUAAAGUAUUUAUUUUUCCAGUAA
This is a long non-coding RNA of Bombina bombina (fire-bellied toad), 3125 nucleotides long. RefSeq lists it as uncharacterized. NCBI's taxonomy places the organism in Eukaryota, Metazoa, Chordata, Amphibia, Anura, Bombinatoridae. The transcript is spliced from 2 exons. The record is from RefSeq and is a predicted model, not a curated record.